Molecule: ribosomal RNA, 314 nt
Filed under: uncultured bacterium
Lineage: Bacteria
Description: partial 16S ribosomal RNA
Rfam family: Bacterial small subunit ribosomal RNA
Source: RNAcentral
UUAUAAGAGACAGCAGCAGCCGCGGUAAUACGAAGGGUGCAAGCGUUACUCGGAAUUACUGGGCGUAAAGCGUGCGUAGGUGGUGGUUUAAGUCCGUUGUGAAAGCCCUGGGCUCAACCUGGGAAUUGCAGUGGAUACUGGGUCACUAGAGUGUGGUAGAGGAUAGUGGAAUUUCCGGUGUAGCAGUGAAAUGCGUAGAGAUCGGAAGGAACAUCUGUGGCGAAGGCGACUAUCUGGGCCAACACUGACACUGAGGCACGAAAGCGUGGGGAGCAAACAGGAUUAGAUACCCCCGUAGUCCCUGUCUCUUAUAC